This 375-nucleotide ribosomal RNA is filed under the name Shigella sonnei. RNAcentral's name for it is "bacterial SSU rRNA". It matches the Rfam family "Bacterial small subunit ribosomal RNA", at positions 1 to 372 of the family's 1533-position model. The record is from RNAcentral. Lineage: Bacteria; Pseudomonadati; Pseudomonadota; Gammaproteobacteria; Enterobacterales; Enterobacteriaceae.
AAAUUGAAGAGUUUGAUCAUGGCUCAGAUUGAACGCUGGCGGCAGGCCUAACACAUGCAAGUCGAACGGUAACAGGAAACAGCUUGCUGUUUCGCUGACGAGUGGCGGACGGGUGAGUAAUGUCUGGGAAACUGCCUGAUGGAGGGGGAUAACUACUGGAAACGGUAGCUAAUACCGCAUAAUGUCGCAAGACUAAAGAGGGGGACCUUCGGGCCUCUUGCCAUCGGAUGUGCCCAGAUGGGAUUAGCUAGUAGGUGGGGUAACGGCUCACCUAGGCGACGAUCCCUAGCUGGUCUGAGAGGAUGACCAGCCACACUGGAACUGAGACACGGUCCAGACUCCUACGGGAGGCAGCAGUGGGGAAUAUUGCACAAU